Molecule: ribosomal RNA, 1382 nt
Filed under: Valsonectria pulchella
Lineage: Eukaryota; Fungi; Ascomycota; Sordariomycetes; Hypocreales; Valsonectriaceae
Description: eukaryotic LSU rRNA
Rfam family: Eukaryotic large subunit ribosomal RNA
Source: RNAcentral
UUAAGCAUAUCAAUAAGCGGAGGAAAAGAAACCAACAGGGAUUGCCUCAGUAACGGCGAGUGAAGCGGCAACAGCUCAAAUUUGAAAUCUGGCCCCAGGCCCGAGUUGUAAUUUGCAGAGGAUGCUUUUGGCGCGGUGCCUUCCAAGUUCCCUGGAACGGGACGCCACAGAGGGUGAGAGCCCCGUCAGGUCGUGCAACCAAGCCUUUGUAAAGCUCCUUCGACGAGUCGAGUAGUUUGGGAAUGCUGCUCUAAAUGGGAGGUAUAUGUCUUCUAAAGCUAAAUACCGGCCAGAGACCGAUAGCGCACAAGUAGAGUGAUCGAAAGAUGAAAAGCACUUUGAAAAGAGAGUUAAAAAGCACGUGAAAUUGUUGAAAGGGAAGCGUUCAUGACCAGACUUGGGCCCGGUUGAUCAUCCAGCGUUCUCGCUGGUGCACUCUGCCGGCCCAGGCCAGCAUCAGUUCGCUCCGGGGGACAAAGGUUCAGGGAAUGUGGCUCCCCUCGGGGAGUGUUAUAGCCCUGUUCAAAUGCCCUGGGGUGGACUGAGGUCCGCGCAUUGCAAGGAUGCUGGCGUAAUGGUCAUCAACGACCCGUCUUGAAACACGGACCAAGGAGUCGUCUUCGUAUGCGAGUGUUUGGGCGUUAAACCCCGGCGCGUAAUGAAAGUGAACGCAGGUGAGAGCUUCGGCGCAUCAUCGACCGAUCCUGAUGUUCUCGGAUGGAUUUGAGUAAGAGCAUACGGGGCCGGACCCGAAAGAAGGUGAACUAUGCCUGUAUAGGGUGAAGCCAGAGGAAACUCUGGUGGAGGCUCGCAGCGGUUCUGACGUGCAAAUCGAUCGUCAAAUAUGGGCAUGGGGGCGAAAGACUAAUCGAACCUUCUAGUAGCUGGUUUCCGCCGAAGUUUCCCUCAGGAUAGCAGUGUUGAACUCAGUUUUAUGAGGUAAAGCGAAUGAUUAGGGACUCGGGGGCGCUUUUUAGCCUUCAUCCAUUCUCAAACUUUAAAUAUGUAAGAAGCCCUUGUUACUUAAUUGAACGUGGGCAUUCGAAUGUAGCAACACUAGUGGGCCAUUUUUGGUAAGCAGAACUGGCGAUGCGGGAUGAACCGAACGCGAGGUUAAGGUGCCAGAGUAGACGCUCAUCAGACACCACAAAAGGUGUUAGUACAUCUUGACAGCAGGACGGUGGCCAUGGAAGUCGGAAUCCGCUAAGGACUGUGUAACAACUCACCUGCCGAAUGUACUAGCCCUGAAAAUGGAUGGCGCUCAAGCGUCUCACCCAUACCUCGCCCUCAGGGUAGAAACGAUGCCCUGAGGAGUAGGCGGACGUGGGGGUCAGUGACGAAGCCUAGGGCGUGAGCCCGGGUCGAACGGCCUCUAGUGAAUU